UUACUCGCUUCGGCAGCACAUAUACUAAAAAGGGAACGAUACUGAGAAGAUUAGCAUGGCCCUCGUUCAAGGAUGACAUGCAAAUUCGUGAAGUGUUCCAUAUAUUA
Pelodiscus sinensis (Chinese soft-shelled turtle) is the source of this 107-nucleotide small nuclear RNA. Lineage: Eukaryota; Metazoa; Chordata; Testudines; Trionychidae. The record is from Ensembl.